Long non-coding RNA from Scylla paramamosain (green mud crab), 3721 nucleotides. RefSeq lists it as uncharacterized. The record is from RefSeq and is a predicted model, not a curated record. The transcript has 3 exons. NCBI's taxonomy places the organism in Eukaryota, Metazoa, Arthropoda, Malacostraca, Decapoda, Portunidae.
AUCAUCAUUAUUCCCUAUACAAUAUUCCUUACUAAAACUUUUAUAAUAAUUCUCCUUAUGACUUCAGAGAUCAGACUGGCUUCCUAUUGGUUCGUGGAAAUAACGUCACUCCCUUCCCUCUCCAUGGUUGGUGGAGAGGUAGUGACGUCAUUUGUAAACAUUGGGUGACGCUUAAGACAGACACACACACAUACACACAGAGAGAGAGAGAGAGAGAGAGAGAGAGAGAGAGAAAUUAAAUUUGACACUGUGAAUGGAAGAGGUAUGGAGGAGGUGGUGGUGGUGGUGGAGGUGUAGAGAGAGAGAGAGAGCAACACCACCACCACCACCACUGCCUUUAAACACGAAAUCCGUCCAUAAAGCUAGGCCUAUCUAAACCCAGCAUAGGCUUAGUUAAGCUUACCACAGCCUACCAGAACCACAUCUGCCCACUGACACCCUCCUUAACCUGUGUGUGUGUGUACGUAUGUGUGUCUGUUAGCACCCUGACACCUGUUUAGCACCUGUGUAGUUAAUAAGGUGUGUGUGUGUGUGUGUGUGUGUCACCGUCUUUCAGUCAUUAUAACACCAAGAAUUAUUUAAUGAGAACAAACCUGCAAACUUUAAUGAACACACCUGUUAAAUUUAGAAUCUUUAGAGAGACGUAGGUGAAGAGGGGACCUGAUAGAAGUGUUUAAGUGGUAAAAGGGUUAUAACAAGGCAAACAAGCAAAAUUCUUAGGAUCAGCAACCAGGGUAGAACAAGAAUUAACGGGUACAAGCUUGAAAAAUUUAGGUUUAGGAAGGAGAUAGCAAAAAACUGGUUCUCAAAUCGAUUGGUAUAUGAGUUAACGGACUCAGUAAUCAUGUAGUUAGUGGUAGGACACUAGACAGCUUUAAGAGAAGAUUAGAUAUUAUAUAUUAGAUAGAUCCAUGGGGAUAGCAGAUGGAAAUAGGUAGGUGUGUUUCAUAGAGGGACUGCCACGUGUAAGCCUGCUCCCUUCUUGCACCUUCCAUUAUUUAUUAUGUUCUUAUGUAUGUUCACCUGAGACUGAUUGUAACACCUGCAAAUGUUAAUUGAGCCACAGAACACCUGAGAACAUUGAUAUUUGCACCUGGAAUAGUUACAUAGCGCUUAAGAUCAAUAUUGCACUGGAAAAUCACCUUGAAAUCAAUUGAAAAACAAAAUUACCACUUGAAAACACAUGACAAACUUAAUUAAAUGACCGAAAACACUUGAGGAAAAUUAAUAAACACCUUAAGAGAUUUAAUUAACACUUGAAAACUAGAAUACCACUUGAAAACACUAACCUAACCUAACCAAACUAACCUAACCUAACCUAACCUAACCUAACCUAACCAAACUAACCUAACCUAACCUAACCUAACCUAACCUUUGUGACUUAAUUAACACUUGAAAAAUACCUUCAAAACUGAAAUACUACUUGAAAAACACUUGAAAACACAUUUGUGACUUAAUUAACCUUUGAAAAACACCUUGAAAACUGGAAUACCUUUUCAAAACAGCUGAAAACAUCUUUGAGACUUAAUUAACACUUGAAAAACACUUGAAAACACCUUUGUGACUUAAUUAACUCUUGAAAAAUUACCUUCAAAACUGAAAUACCGCUUGAAAAACACUUGAAAACACCUUUGUGACUUAAUUAACAUUUGAAAGUUUAAUUAUCACUUGAAAAAAACACUUGAAAUUUUUUAAUCAUUACCUGAAAAACCUUUCAAACUUAAUUAUCACUUAGAAAGGAAAAAAGAAACUUGGAAAAUUAAAUAAAACCACUUGAAAACACUAACAAUUAUAAAAAAAAGACCCAGAACUAAAAACAAAUAAUAACUACCUGGAAUUUAUCAGAAAAAAACUAAUUAUUUCACCUGGAACGACUUUUGCAACCACUUGAGCGCACCUGUCACCCACUUAGCACCACCACCACCACCACCACCACCACCACCACAAGCCACUGGAACCACCUAGUACCACCUGAAAUCCUGGAAUCUACACUUUCACCCUGUACUGAAAUCUGGAAUAACCUGGAAUUGUGUGGCAGCAUUUAGAAGUGUCUGAGUUGAAACAUUUCUUCAAUACUCCAACUGUCACUAUCAAAAUACACUUAUAAACACUUAGAACACAUCAAAACACUCUCAAAACACACAAAACACCCCAAAACACACUCAAAACCACUCUAAACAUCCCAAAACACACUUACACACACAAAAAAACAUACCAGAACACUUAAAUACACCAAAACACACUUAAAGCACACUUAAACACACCAAAACACACUCAAAACACACUUAAACACACUCAAAACACACCAAAAUACUCUCGAAACACACCAAAACACACUUAAACACUCAAAACACUCCCAAACACACCCAAACACACUCAAAACAUUCCCAAACACACUCAAACAUACCUAAACACACCCCAAAUUACCUCAAAAUACCUCAAAAAACAUCUCAAAUAUAUCUUCAUAAAACACUUGAACACACACAUGGCUACCCAUCACUAAAACUCAGCCACCCAUCUCUUAAACACAAGGAUAUCCCAUUUAAAACACCCAUUCAUACACCUCCAUUCCUGCCCAUUCCAGCUCCAGUCAGCUUUUCCCCUAUUCCUGUGCCUUCCAGUCAGUUCUGCCUUAUUCCAGCUCAAUUCCAGUCUCUUUUGCUGUAUUCCUGUUAAAUUCCAGUCAGUUUUGGCCCAUUUCCACCCAUUCCUGUUAGAUUUUCCUGUAUUCCCAAUCCAUUCCAGUCUUGCUUCCCUUUAUUUCCAGUCUGCUUAGCCCAAUUCCAGUCCCAUCUACCCCAAUUCCAGUACCCCCAAUUUCUCCCCAUCUCAACCUAUCACUGCUACACCUAACUUUAAAACACUGAUCCAAACACCCGUUUAACUGCCCUCCCCAACCCUCACACACCCCUCAACACACACACACACACACACACACACACACACACACACACAAAUACCCAUAAACACACCUAAAAUAUUUUAAAACACACAAAAAACACUAGAUACACAUCUAAACACACCCAAGACAGCUUCAGGCACACUCAAAACACCCCAAAAUUUAUCCAAAACACUGCAUAACUUACCCAGACACCCCCAAACACCCCCAGCACCCCACCAUGCCUCUCUCAAUCACCAGUCACCACCACCUCAGCCCCACCAUCAACAUGUACAGCAAGGAAGGCGCAGGGGACUCGGGCCCUGACAGACACCACACUGGGGACUACCUGGCACCCUUAGCUUCUGUAGAUCUGUCCCGUGUCAACACCCCUGGCGGAUCUCCCUCCCCAUGACCCGGCCAUCACCCCGCCCUUGAGGACCCCAAUUGGGAGCCCCCGGAGGACCAAGGGAUGUUGCUGAGGUCACACCUGAUUCCGGAAUCUUGACACCCCUUCAAGAUUCCGAGCCGUUUAAUGAAGGGCCGCCCGACAGGUACUGCCUUGUGUUCCUGACCUUAGUUGUGCAUGGAGUCUGAACACUGAUGCCUUGGAAUAUGUUCAUCACUGCCAAGAACUUGCCAUUGGGAUCUUCCAGAACACAGUGUAUGGGACAGCUGCCCAUCUCCCAUUUAGCUACACGGUGGCGGUGGUGCUGGACUCGGUAAGUGAUGGGUGAUGGGGAAGAAAUGGGUGAAGAAAUGGGUGACAGGGAGAAAAUAAUGUUUGUUUUUUUGUUUAUUUAUUUAAUUUUUUUGAUGGGUAAGGAAUGGGUGGUGGAGAAA